Molecule: long non-coding RNA, 338 nt
Organism: Dreissena polymorpha
Lineage: Eukaryota; Metazoa; Mollusca; Bivalvia; Myida; Dreissenidae
Exons: 3
Source: RefSeq, a predicted model, not a curated record
AAACUUAAUAAAUAUUGGAGCAAGUGUUCAGCCGUUUUGGUCGGCUUCCUCACAAGGGCGCUUUGGAGACGACACCACGUGCAACCUCUUGUAUAUAAACUUUGAAACAAAAGAUGGAACAUGACAACACACGACUUUGAUCAAAGAUCCGGUGCAAUCGCCAAAGCUGUCGAGUCGAUUGUCGGAUCCUAGAGCGCACGGGGUGGCUUACUGCCUACUAGUCGUGUGACCCCCGGGAGGCGGUGGCAUAGGUUCGCCGUAGCCGUGCUUCGUAAAGUUGUGCACCGCAGCAAACUGAACCAUCGUCGCCAGGACGAAGACGAACGCCAUAGCGAUGU